UGAGGAAUAUUGGUCAAUGGGCGAGAGCCUGAACCAGCCAUUCCGCGUGAAGGAAGAAGGCCUUAUGGGUUGUAAACUUCUUUUCUGUAAGAAGAACGGCCCCGACGUGUCGGGGUGUGACGGUAUUAUAGGAAUAAGCAUCGGCUAACUCCGUGCCAGCAGCCGCGGUAAUACGGAGGAUGCAAGCGUUAUCCGGAUUUAUUGGGUUUAAAGGGUGCGCAGGUGGUUUUAUAAGUCAGUGGUGAAAGUCUGACGCUUAACGUUAGGAUUGCCAUUGAUACUGUAGGACUUGAGUAUGGAUGAGGUAGGCGGAAUGUGUAGUGUAGCGGUGAAAUGCAUAGAUAUUACACAGAACGCCGAUUGCGAAGGCAGCUUACUAAUCCAUGACUGACGCUGAGGCACGAAGGCGUGGGGAUCAAACA
This 422-nucleotide ribosomal RNA is filed under the name uncultured prokaryote. RNAcentral's name for it is "bacterial SSU rRNA". It matches the Rfam family "Bacterial small subunit ribosomal RNA", at positions 355 to 774 of the family's 1533-position model. The record is from RNAcentral.